RNAcentral lists this ribosomal RNA (481 nucleotides) under uncultured eukaryote. RNAcentral describes it as "SSU rRNA". It matches the Rfam family "Eukaryotic small subunit ribosomal RNA", at positions 1302 to 1808 of the family's 1831-position model. The record is from RNAcentral.
UGGAGUGAUUUGUCUGGUUAAUUCCGAUAACGAACGAGACCCCCGCCUAUUAACUAGUUUUACUAUUGCUUGCAAUGGUUGAACUUCUUAGAGGGACUUUUGGUGUUUUAGCCAAAGGAAGUUGGGGGCAAUAACAGGUCUGUGAUGCCCUUAGAUGUCCUGGGCCGCACGCGCGCUACACUGACAUGUUCAACAAGUUUCUCCUAGUUCGACAGGACUGGGAAAUCUUUGAACGCAUGUCGUGAUAGGGAUAGAUCAUUGCAAUUAUUGAUCUUGAACGAGGAAUUCCUAGUAAACGCGAGUCAUCAGCUCGCAUUGAUUACGUCCCUGCCCUUUGUACACACCGCCCGUCGCACCUACCGAUUGAAUGUUUCGGUGAAGAUUCCGGAUAGGACUGAUUUGAUUUAUUUCAUUUCUGACCUAAAAGCUAUCUAAACCUCAACAUUUAGAGGAAGGUGAAGUCGUAACAAGGUUUCCGUAG